AUGUUCAUAAAAUCCACAGUGAUUGUAGAUUCUGAAUAUAAUGUUUACAAAAGAACCUUUCGAUUUUUAGUGUAUGUGUGCAUUACAUGUAUUGUAAACAAAAUUUCUGUGAAUUUGAAGAGCAAUAUUUUGAAUCAAGAUUACCAUCGCUCUACACACAGGGCAAGUAGCAUGAAGUGUAGUGUUUUAAAGGAAAAUCUGCUUUUAGAUGUGACAAGAAUAUGUGGCAAUCAAAAGUGCACUUUUAUAAAAAUUAUAUAAAUAUUUAUAUGAAAUGUUGUAUUACUUAUUACAGUUUUUCUCAGUCGCUUUGGUGCAUUUCUCAACUUCUUUUUAACUCCACAUCAUCUAGUCAUUUAUACACAUCAUAAAACCAGUUUCUCAUUCUUUUGAAUAAGUUGUGUUUGCUUUCGUACUUUCAUGCAAUUAAGUAUGCACAUUUAUCUGCAGUUUUCCUACAUUAUCAGUUGCUAAUGUCAUGUUACUCAAAAUGUAUUACAUAGUAUUCUGUGCAAUAGACUUAUCCCUCAAAACAUCUAGGCAUUAGUUCAUCGUAUAAGUCAUUAAAUGCAAAAUGGUUAAUCUAGUUGUCGUAAGUUUUGUUUAACACAUUAUGAUAAGACCUUUUUUAAAUUUGAAUUAAAUUGUGCAAGUGAAUCUUGACUAAUGAAGAAAAUGUAGAUCAACCAAUGAUAAACCAUUUCUCUGAAAUAGCUCAAAGGUUCAUCUCAUGAAUCUUCAGUUGGAAAGCUUAUACUGUAUAGACAGAGGACAACACAAGAGUUACAAAUUUACCUAUUUUUUAUUUUCAUCUUUGUGCCCAUAUUUCUUUUUCCUUUUCUAUAUCAUAAUUACAUUGUAAAGGUUUAUUUAUUUAUUUAUUUUUAUUUUAUUUUUUAUCAGAUUACUAGUAAAAGUGUAACUGGUAAUUCCAUCAAGUCUCUUUCAGUCAAUAUCCCACAUACAGUAAUGUGUAAAUUUGUACUUUUGAAAUGGAUAUAUGGCAUACAUAAGCCUAUGGCAUACUGUUACUACUGUAUGUUACUAUUACUACAACAGUUACUGUCAUCCAAAAUGUUUCCAUAGUUUACAUCAGGUAAAACUAACAAAGUGCACUGUUAUAUUGACAACAUGACUACGCAUUUUGACUAUCUUGUUUGUGAACAAUGACAUGAUGGCACUGAUAUGUUCAUUGACAUGAAUACUUGUUUUUGAGAGAUGAACUAAAGAUUUUCAGUAAGUUACAGGCUUUUGCUGGUAAUCUGUUUUACGGUGCUGUUUGUACAAAUUGUUUUAAGAAAUGCACAUACUUUUUUGCAAAUAGCAAAGAUGAUUCAAGAAAUGCACUAAUGCGACUGAGAAGAACGUCUUGGUUACGUAUGUAACCCUCGUUCCCUGAAGGAGGGAACGGAGACGUUACGAAUGGGAUCUCGCCCGAGAGCCCAAUCACCUUCGAGUGGUACAAAACGAGCCAAUGUAACACAAAGUACCUUGGUCUGCGCAAUUUGCAUCGCAAGCUCCGCCCAGCAGAGCGGGUAUAUAAGGAGCAACGCGAGCAACGCGCAUUCAAGUCUUCGCCGAGGAACCGAGCCAAUGACCCGGCCGUUCAGCGGAACAGCGAUGUGGCAAGGGGACGUAACGUCUCCGUUCCCUCCU
Molecule: long non-coding RNA, 1656 nt
Filed under: Carassius auratus (goldfish)
Lineage: Eukaryota; Metazoa; Chordata; Actinopteri; Cypriniformes; Cyprinidae
Description: lncRNA (ENSCARG00000068142.1)
Source: RNAcentral